This 80-nucleotide transfer RNA is filed under the name Treponema sp. Its description in RNAcentral is "tRNA-Leu". It matches the Rfam family "tRNA". From Rfam's summary of the family: Transfer RNA (tRNA) molecules are approximately 80 nucleotides in length. Their secondary structure includes four short double-helical elements and three loops (D, anti-codon, and T loops). Further hydrogen bonds mediate the characteristic L-shaped molecular structure. tRNAs have two regions of fundamental functional importance: the anti-codon, which is responsible for specific mRNA codon recognition, and the 3' end, to which the tRNAs corresponding amino acid is attached (by aminoacyl-tRNA synthetases). tRNAs cope with the degeneracy of the genetic code in two manners: having more than one tRNA (with a specific anti-codon) for a particular amino acid; and 'wobble' base-pairing, i.e. permitting non-standard base-pairing at the 3rd anti-codon position. RNAcentral also lists the same sequence under 3 other names. The record is from RNAcentral. Lineage: Bacteria; Pseudomonadati; Spirochaetota; Spirochaetia; Treponematales; Treponemataceae.
GCGAGAGUGGUGGAAUUGGCAGACACGCCAGACUUAGGAUCUGGUGCCUUGGCGUGAGGGUUCAAGUCCCUCCUCUCGCA